AGAGUUUGAUUAUGGCUCAGGAUGAACGCUAGCUACAGGCUUAACACAUGCAAGUCGAGGGGCAGCAUGUGGUUGCUGCAACCAAUGAUGGCGACCGGCGCACGGGUGAGUAACGCGUAUCCAACUUCCCCUUAGUAGGGCAUAGCCCGUAGAAAUGCGGAUUAAUACCCUAUGUUGUAUAUUGAGGACAUCUGAUUUAUACCAAAGGUUCACCGCUAAGGGAUGGGGAUGCGUCUGAUUAGGUUGUUGGCGGGGUAACGGCCCACCAAGCCUACGAUCAGUAGGGGUUCCGAGAGGAAGGUCCCCCACAUUGGAACUGAGACACGGUCCAAACUCCUACGGGAGGCAGCAGUGAGGAAUAUUGGUCAAUGGACGAGAGUCUGAACCAGCCCAAGUAGCGUGCAGGAUGACGGCCCUAUGGGUUGUAAACUGCUUUUAUACGGGGAUAAAGUGACCCACGUGUGGGUUUUUGUAGGUACCGUAUGAAUAAGGACCGGCUAAUUCCGUGCCAGCCGCGGC
Molecule: ribosomal RNA, 519 nt
Filed under: uncultured bacterium
Lineage: Bacteria
Description: bacterial SSU rRNA
Rfam family: Bacterial small subunit ribosomal RNA
Source: RNAcentral